GACGAACGCUGGCGGCGUGCUUAACACAUGCAAGUCGAACGGAAAGGCCCUGCUUUUGUGGGGUGCUCGAGUGGCGAACGGGUGAGUAACACGUGAGUAACCUGCCCUUGACUUUGGGAUAACUUCAGGAAACUGGGGCUAAUACCGGAUAGGAGCUCCUGCUGCAUGGUGGGGGUUGGAAAGUUUCGGCGGUUGGGGAUGGACUCGCGGCUUAUCAGCUUGUUGGUGGGGUAGUGGCUUACCAAGGCUUUGACGGGUAGCCGGCCUGAGAGGGUGACCGGCCACAUUGGGACUAAGAUACGGCCCAGAGGCCUACGGGAGGCAGCAGUGGGGAAUAUUGCACAAUGGGCGGAAGCCUGAUGCAGCAACGCCGCGUGCGGGAUGACGGCCUUCGGGUUGUAAACCGCUUUCGCCUGUGACGAAGCGUGAGUGACGGUAAUGGGUAAAGAAGCACCGGCUAACUACGUG
This 468-nucleotide ribosomal RNA is filed under the name uncultured bacterium. Its description in RNAcentral is "partial 16S ribosomal RNA". It matches the Rfam family "Bacterial small subunit ribosomal RNA", at positions 28 to 507 of the family's 1533-position model. The record is from RNAcentral.